This 3031-nucleotide long non-coding RNA is filed under the name Triticum aestivum (bread wheat). RNAcentral's name for it is "long non-coding RNA (TAES_LNC024961)". Lineage: Eukaryota; Viridiplantae; Streptophyta; Magnoliopsida; Poales; Poaceae. The record is from RNAcentral.
CCGGUGUUGUAUAAGUCUGCAAGAUUCGGAUUUUAAGAGUACUUGCUCCCUGUACUAGUUACUUCUACUAUUUAUUUUUAGCUGUUUAGUACUACUCUGUAGAUCUGUGAUACUAGUCUAGUCGCUUGUAUAAUUUUGUUUAAUGGUGUAACCUGAAACAUUGAGUAGUACCCUGUUCGCAUAUGUGUGAUUAUGUGUGUUCUGUAGUCUCUAGCUCCAGUACAUGUGAACUAUAUGUUGUGGUGUAAAUCAUUUUCAUUCUAUCUUAUAAACGUGUUUCUUCAAUAGCUAUUUUUGUUCAAGUCUUGUUGUCAUUGAUGUUAGCAUUUAGUUUGUCUCAAGUAAAAAAAAUACUAAAAAUACAGUGAAGAUAAUCUGAACCUCCCUAUGUAAAAUUUAGUUUGUCUAUAAUACUACUAGGAGAUGGGUGAGGGACUGAAAGGAUGAUAUGCUUCCAUGAAUUUAUUUGUAAGAAUUUUUUCUUGGCUCUGUACAAAUCAGCACAAAUAUGUGAGCCUCGGUUCUGAAAACUAAAGAAUUCAUAUAUUGCUAGAUAGACUAUGAUUUAGGAUAUGCUAAACAGAAAGCUUUAUAAGAUGGAACUAUCAAUUCAUCAUGACUUCACUUUGUCCUUUAAUUUAAUUUAAUUUAAUAUGGUUAGAACUACCAUGGUUUUUUAAGUAGUUGGCGCAUUAAGAAACAGUAUGCUGGAUGUUUGGCCUUGCAUUCGUCCUUCCAUGAAUUCAUGCUUGUACAUUGCUAGUUAUUGAUUUUUUUGCAAGUCUUCUUCUUCCUCGAUCUUGUGCAGCAGCAACAAUUCAAGGUCAUGGUCAUGGAGCAGCAGCCAUAUAUUUUUCUUCUUAUUCCUCCCUGAGAUGACAUGAGAUGAGGUUUGUUUUCCUCAAGGUCAAGGUGCAGCAGCUCGAUUUGAUUUGAUGUGAUUGGAUUCAGUUUCCUCAUGCUUCUCUGUUUGCAUUGCAGGCUCUGUUGGUCGGUCUUCAAUUCUUCAUGCUGUUGCUGCUACUGCUACAUGAGGACCCUCUUCAAUUCUGCAUCCAUUGCGGCCGCCGCAGCUUCCACCUCUACCCGGCCGCAUUCGCAAGUGUAAGCUCCCCCUCCCUCCGUCCUAGAUCUCUAGGUCUGUUGCUGUCAUGCGCCAUGUUCUUGAUGUUGCGCGACCUAAUGUGGAUGCCACGAACGGCGCUGCUCCUGUGUGCAGAUUUGAUUCACCGCAUUAGUAUGCGGUUGUUGUCUCGUCGUGGUUGCUCAAACUGAGAUGUACCCAGUUGAUUCGUCAUCUCGGGUCAUAAAUUUUUCUGCAUUCCCUGUUGCUGUAGCUUGUUGGAUGCAUAGUUUGAUCUCCCAAUGGGAAUUAUUAGUGAAUGGUGAUGUCUGUGGUCACGAGAAUGGUGAUGUAGUAGCUGGUAUGCUUGAUGCGUGUAAGUCCAUCUCUUUACUGUUUUGCUAGAACCAUAAAUCCUGAUGCGCAUGAUGAUCAUGGUCUGAUUUGUUAGAUCUAUUCUGCUGGUGCUUAAAAUUUGACAUGCCUGGAUUCUAAAACAAAUUUUACAGCAUUCUAUGUUGUAGCCAAACACUUGCUCUGUAUUUUAUAUUAAAACCAUGGUAUUGUGUACCUGCCAACUACGAGUAAAUUACUGAAGUUUUUAAUACUUUGGUUUUUUUGAUACUUUUUUUACAGAAAGGCAAUGGUCUGUAGUGAACUGAAGAUAGGAAAAAUGAUAUGUAAAUGCACUUUGAUCUGCUCAGUAGGAGCAAGAUGGAGUCGCUGGAGCAGAGCAGUCGAGUCUGCAUUUUGUUCUUCUGUCAGACAGACAUCCACAUGUUGUACCGAUUCUUAGUUCAGAGAUAGGAAUGUAUAAAUGGUUGCCGAUCUCUCCAUGCAUGGAACAGUAGCUUUUUAUGUAGGAUCCUUUCCGUAUAGAUGAGUCACAACAUUGAUUUGUUGAUCCAUUUGGAAACUAAAAGAAAGUACAGAGAGGACGAACUUGUUGGUAGAACUUCAUCAUAUUCAGCAGACGGAGUCCACGGGUGUAGCAUUUUGUCUAGUACACCCAACACCACCUGAGGAUCCAAUUCACUGUUAGAAAGUUAGAAAUUGAUAUUACAGGUUCCUUAUAGUGCAAACCAAAGCUGCUACUCCAACAACCAUCAAAUGAAACCAUGUUUUCUAAAAUUAAAGGGUCUGAUUGAUAUUGGUCCUUCUUUUGACAGAUAUAAUAUGUAUACUGACUUGUUAUUUUCUUCUCUAGCAAGCACUACGGCGUCAACUUUGUGGUGGCCGACGCGACGGCCAUCGAGCAUGACUUCUUCCCCAAGAACAACCUCAGCGUGGACAUCACGCCGUAGUACAUCAUGAUGGAGCUUGGCUAGAUGUACACAUAUUUUUUUACAACCUCUGCGUGCAUAUUUUUUUUACAAUGCACCAAAGUUUCUUGUUUCUGUUGUGAAAGUAAUGUAAAUGGUGUUACAUAGUUCUCAAUAAAAAUGCAAAUAACUUGUGAAUUUGUCUUCAUGUUGUAUAAGUCUCGACAAAGUUAAUUUGCAUAAUCCUUGACCUCCUCCUGCAAUCUCUCUUUCUCCCUUUCUUCUUUGAAUUUCCCGGUGUUGUAUAAGUCUGCAAGAUUCAGAUUUUAAGAGUACUUGCUCCCUGUACUAGUUACUUCUACUAUUUAUUUUUAGCUGUUUAGUACUACUCUGUAGAUCUGUGAUACUAGUCUAGUCGCUUGUAUAAUUUUGUUUAAUGGUGUAACCUGAAACAUUGAGUAGUACCCUGUUCGCAUAUGUGUGAUUAUGUGUGUUCUGUAGUCUCUAGCUCCAGUACAUGUGAACUAUAUGUUGUGGUGUAAAUCAUUUUCAUUCUAUCUUAUAAACGUGUUUCUUCAAUAGCUAUUUUUGUUCAAGUCUUGUUGUCAUUGAUGUUAGCAUUUAGUUUGUCUCAAGUAAAAAAAAUACUAAAAAUACAGUGAAGAUAAUCUGAACCUCCCUAUGUAAAAUUUAGUUUGUCUAUAAU